CGACGAUUACAGUGAGGUCAGGCCGACGACUUUACCUGAUUUUCGUAGAGGUGGUGCAUGGCCGUCGUCAGUUCGUACCGUAAGGCGUUCUGUUAAGUCAGAUAACGAACGAGACCCUCGUCCUUAAUUGCCAACCCAUUCUCCGGGAGUGGGCGCACAUUAAGGGGACCGCUGGCGCUAAGGUCAGAGGAAGGAGAGGUCAACGGUAGGUCAGUAUGCCCCGAAUCUCCCGGGCUACACGCGCGCUACAAAGGACAGGACAAUGGGAUGCAAUACCGAGAGGUAACGCCAACCCGAAACCUGUUCGUAGUUCGGACUGAGGGCUGUAACUCGCCCUCACGAAGCUGGAUUCCGUAGUAAUCGCGGGUCAACAUCCCGCGGUGAAUAUGCCCUGCUCUUU
This 400-nucleotide ribosomal RNA is filed under the name uncultured Thermoplasmatales archaeon. RNAcentral's name for it is "bacterial SSU rRNA". It matches the Rfam family "Archaeal small subunit ribosomal RNA", at positions 937 to 1338 of the family's 1478-position model. Lineage: Archaea; Methanobacteriati; Thermoplasmatota; Thermoplasmata; Thermoplasmatales. The record is from RNAcentral.